Long non-coding RNA from Perognathus longimembris pacificus (Pacific pocket mouse), 1566 nucleotides. RefSeq lists it as uncharacterized. The transcript is spliced from 2 exons. NCBI's taxonomy places the organism in Eukaryota, Metazoa, Chordata, Mammalia, Rodentia, Heteromyidae. The record is from RefSeq and is a predicted model, not a curated record.
AAUUAAAAUGUCUUUAUCUGUUGUAGAAAAAUAAGAGAUUUUAAGAUGUAGAAUUUAAAAUGUAUUUUCAUGUCAAAAAUCUCAAUUAUCUCAAGCAUAUUUCCAAACACCUUAAGUCCUUUAAAUUAUCAAGCAUUAAGUUAGUGAAUGGCAAAAUAAAGCGGGUAUCUUAAGCAACUCUUAGCCUUUGUCUCAGUUUCAUAAUGUAUAAAACAGGAAAAACUACAAGGAUGGGUAGUUAAUUAAAUUAGUCAGGAUUAAAUGCUAGCUAGCUGCUUUGAAGUUAGUUUAUGUUGUUCUCAGUUCUCCUCCUACUCAGUAAAAUGAAUAGAUGAGAAAACAUCUGGAAUUACUGCAGGGAAUAGUAUCUGCAGACUCUCAGCCGUGAAAAGAUGGUCUCUACAAUUUCUAAGCCAAAGUUCACUCACCAAUCCCUACACAUUUCAAGAUAUCACUACAUUGCACAACUUUUUAGGUGAACUCCCUUUCAGCCUCACACCUACAUUCCAAAACAGACUACUACACCGAAAUCUCAGAGCAUCUUGAGAGGUCUUGCCACAAGGCAAGUGUAGGUAAGAUGAACAAGCUGCUACUGUUGUUCAUGCUGUUCUCGGCAUGCUACACUGUCAGUCAAGGGAAGCUUCAUCAACAAGCACACCCUCCAAAAAGUACCGGCCCCCACUGAGAAUCUAUCAAAGCACUUCCUGAUAAGCCAUCUGUCCAGGAAAGCUCUACUCAACACCUAAAAUGCAGUUGCUCUCCAUCUGAGAGGACCUGGAUAGAUAUGAAACACUAAAGCAGACUGCUCAGUAUGCAAGCUCCACUUUAAACACUGAGAAACCACCUACUAGAACCAUCCCAGUGCGCAGGCUGAACACAAACCUCUAUGGUACAUAGUUAGGAAACUGAGCUUAAUCAAAGACAACUUUAUUUUUUUUUCCAGAGAAGGAAAAAAAAUCUAUAAAAAAAAAACAAGGCUCAAAGAAGAGGAAAUGAUCAAAAAGAAAAAAAAAAGCAGAUUAAGGAGAAACGAGCGUGUAAAUUAUUCCUGAUGGAAGUGGGACUCAAUUAAAUUUUAAAACCGGAAUUUAAAUUACUCGCUGAGCCACAAACACUAUGAAAGCAUGAGUAUUUUUAAAUCUAUUCUAAAGGACCCAAAGCCAAUCUUUUCUUUUCCAAUUGAGAAGGAAAUUGCAUAAAUUUCAAUGAGGACAAAGUAGGAUGGCAUAAGCCUAAGGCUGAUGAUGUAAAAGCAAAGAAUGAUGAGAAGGAAUUAUUUUUGAAGAUAAAUGAAUAACCAAAAAACAAAUGAAAGAACUAUAAUUCCUACCUCACGCUUUUCCUCUCUUCUGCUUAGCCCAUGAGAUGAAUUCUUAAUAUACUAAUAUGCUACUAGGGAAAGAACCACUGAUCACCAGAACAGCAUGGUAGCCUCAGGCCCUAGACAGAAUGAAGCCUCUUCAAACACACACAGAGCACAUUUGAAGGCCCAAGUCUCUCACAUCUAUUGCUAAUUAUUCUGAUUAUGGGAACAGGCUGAGGCUGCUUAAAGGUUGGGGAAUAGGG